GAUGAACGCUGGCGGCGUGCCUAAUACAUGCAAGUCGAGCGAACGGACGAGAAGCUUGCUUCUCUGAUGUUAGCGGCGGACGGGUGAGUAACACGUGGAUAACCUACCUAUAAGACUGGGAUAACUUCGGGAAACCGGAGCUAAUACCGGAUGAUAUUUUGAACCGCAUGGUUCAAAAGUGAAAGACGGUCUUGCUGUCACUUAUAGAUGGAUCCGCGCUGCAUUAGCUAGUUGGUAAGGUAACGGCCUACCAAGGCAACGAUGCAUAGCCGACCUGAGAGGGUGAUCGGCCACACUGGAACUGAGACACGGUCCAGACUCCUACGGGAGGCAGCAGUAGGGAAUCUUCCGCAAUGGGCGAAAGCCUGACGGAGCAACGCCGCGCGAGUGAUGAAGGUCUUCGGAUCGUAAAACUCUGUUAUUAGGGAAGAACAUAUGUGUAAGUAACUGUGCACAUCUUGACGGUACCUAAUCAGAAAGCCACGGCUAACUACGUG
Molecule: ribosomal RNA, 497 nt
Filed under: uncultured bacterium
Lineage: Bacteria
Description: partial 16S ribosomal RNA
Rfam family: Bacterial small subunit ribosomal RNA
Source: RNAcentral